Molecule: ribosomal RNA, 484 nt
Filed under: uncultured bacterium
Lineage: Bacteria
Description: partial 16S ribosomal RNA
Rfam family: Bacterial small subunit ribosomal RNA
Source: RNAcentral
GUUGAACGCUGGCGGCAGGCCUAACACAUGCAAGUCGAGCGGAUGAAGGGAGCUUGCUCCUGGAUUCAGCGGCGGACGGGUGAGUAAUGCCUAGGAAUCUGCCUGGUAGUGGGGGAUAACGUCCGGAAACGGGCGCUAAUACCGCAUACGUCCUGAGGGAGAAAGUGGGGGAUCUUCGGACCUCACGCUAUCAGAUGAGCCUAGGUCGGACUAGCUAGUUGGUGGGGUAAAGGCCUACCAAGGCGACGAUCCGUAACUGGUCUGAGAGGAUGAUCAGUCACACUGGAACUGAGACACGGUCCAGACUCCUACGGGAGGCAGCAGUGGGGAAUAUUGGACAAUGGGCGAAAGCCUGAUCCAGCCAUGCCGCGUGUGUGAAGAAGGUCUUCGGAUUGUAAAGCACUUUAAGUUGGGAGGAAGGGCAGUAAGUUAAUACCUUGCUGUUUUGACGUUACCAACAGAAUAAGCACCGGCUAACUUCGUG